GUGGGGAAUCUUGCGCAAUGGGCGAAAGCCUGACGCAGCCAUGCCGCGUGAAUGAUGAAGGUCUUAGGAUUGUAAAAUUCUUUCACCGGGGACGAUAAUGACGGUACCCGGAGAAGAAGCCCCGGCUAACUUCGUGCCAGCAGCCGCGGUAAUACGAAGGGGGCUAGCGUUGCUCGGAAUUACUGGGCGUAAAGGGCGCGUAGGCGGACAGUUUAGUCAGAGGUGAAAGCCCAGGGCUCAACCUUGGAAUUGCCUUUGAUACUGACUGUCUUGAGUACGGGAGAGGUGAGUGGAACUCCGGGUGUAGAGGUGAAAUUCGUAGAUAUUCGGAAGAACACCAGUGGCGAAGGCGACUCACUGGCCCGUUACUGACGCUGAGGCGCGAAAGCGUGGGGAGCAAACAGGAUUAGAAACCCUUGUAGUCC
Molecule: ribosomal RNA, 425 nt
Filed under: uncultured bacterium
Lineage: Bacteria
Description: partial 16S ribosomal RNA
Rfam family: Bacterial small subunit ribosomal RNA
Source: RNAcentral